AUACUAUGCCCAGCAAAGUGUUUUUUACCCCCAAGGUAAGGCUCCACCAUUGCACCUGAGAUGGUCUGACCGCUGGGAUUUCCCAAAAUGAGGAAAACAGACUGCAUGAUUUGUGAUAAUGGGGGACUACGUUAGAUGCUCCUCCA
Molecule: small nuclear RNA, 146 nt
Filed under: Microtus ochrogaster (prairie vole)
Lineage: Eukaryota; Metazoa; Chordata; Mammalia; Rodentia; Cricetidae
Description: U1 spliceosomal RNA (ENSMOCG00000011443.1)
Source: RNAcentral